AUCGUGCUCGAAAUCGAUGUUUCUGUUAACUGGUCGAGAACCAGUGCAUUUACCCUAUAUCUUUAUUUCUUAUUGAUAAGCCUCCAAUUUUCAUUUGUAUUGUCUUGAAUAUAAAACUUCUUUGUGUUCAAUAUAACCUCUCGAAAUUUCUUCUUCUUCUAUCUGGUUAUUUGGGCUCAACCAUAGGUUAUGUACCCAGUCUCAAACUUAUUUUAGAUUCCCACCCCAUUCCCAGGGUCGGAAAGGAAUGAAAGGACAACUGACUUACACAGGGCUAAAAAACGUUCACACAUGUAUAAUGUUUUACAAUUUUCUUUAUUUAAUUGGCAGUCGAAGAAGAUGUGGGUAAUGUUACCGUGUUCUCCACAUUGACAAUUUGGAUGAUCAACAACUUUAAUUCUGAAUAGAUGUUCAGGGGUCAGACAAUGAUUGGAACGCAGUCGCAUCAUCGUUGUUAUAGCGUAUUUGCUAAGUUUGGAUUCAAAUAAAAAAUAUUUUUGAA
Molecule: long non-coding RNA, 502 nt
Organism: Harmonia axyridis
Lineage: Eukaryota; Metazoa; Arthropoda; Insecta; Coleoptera; Coccinellidae
Exons: 2
Source: RefSeq, a predicted model, not a curated record